AGUGACAGGAGGAGAAACUCUGGAAAUGCUAAUCCCGAUGGAGGAUGCUUCAGGCCGAACAACACCUCAGGUUGUGGUGCCCUUAUCACAUUCCCAACCUGAACCCGGGGACAGACAACAGCCUGCCAUUCAACACGUUUACCAACGUAGAAGAAGAGCAGCUCCUAAGCGUUAUGAGGAGACUACAACUACAAAAAGUCAGAUUGAUGUGGAAGAUACGGUUGCAUCCG
This 230-nucleotide long non-coding RNA is filed under the name Linum usitatissimum (flax). Its description in RNAcentral is "long non-coding RNA (LUSI_LNC000866)". The record is from RNAcentral. Lineage: Eukaryota; Viridiplantae; Streptophyta; Magnoliopsida; Malpighiales; Linaceae.